This 932-nucleotide ribosomal RNA is filed under the name bacterium enrichment culture clone PAH54-P1. RNAcentral's name for it is "bacterial SSU rRNA". It matches the Rfam family "Bacterial small subunit ribosomal RNA", at positions 43 to 963 of the family's 1533-position model. The record is from RNAcentral.
UAUGCUUAACACAUGCAAGUCGAACGGCAGCACGAGAGAGCUUGCUCUCUUGGUGGCGAGUGGCGGACGGGUGAGUAACGCGUAAGAAUCUGCCUAGUAGUGGGGGAUAACUCGGGGAAACUCGAGCUAAUACCGCAUACGCCCUACGGGGGAAAGUGGGGGACCUUCGGGCCUCACGCUAUUAGAUGAGCUUGCGUUGGAUUAGCUAGUUGGUGAGGUAAUGGCUCACCAAGGCGACGAUCCAUAGCUGGUCUGAGAGGACGAUCAGCCACACUGGGACUGAGACACGGCCCAGACUCCUACGGGAGGCAGCAGUGGGGAAUAUUGGACAAUGGGCGCAAGCCUGAUCCAGCAAUACCGCGUGUGUGAAGAAGGCCUGCGGGUUGUAAAGCACUUUCAAUUGUGAAGAAAAGCUUGGGGUUAAUAGCCCCGAGUCUUGACGUUAACUUUAGAAGAAGCACCGGCUAACUCUGUGCCAGCAGCCGCGGUAAUACAGAGGGUGCGAGCGUUAAUCGGAAUUACUGGGCGUAAAGCGUGCGUAGGCGGUUUAGUAAGUCAGAUGUGAAAGCCCUGGGCUUAACCUGGGAACUGCAUUUGAAACUGCUGAACUAGAGUGUGGUAGAGGGAAGUGGAAUUCCGGGUGUAGCGGUGAAAUGCGUAGAUAUCCGGAGGAACACCAGUGGCGAAGGCGACUUCCUGGACCAACACUGACGCUGAGGUACGAAAGCGUGGGUAGCAAACAGGAUUAGAUACCCUGGUAGUCCACGCCGUAAACGAUGUCAACUAGUUGUUGGGAGCAUUCUGGCUUUUAGUAACGUAGCUAACGCGAUAAGUUGACCGCCUGGGGAGUACGGCCGCAAGGUUAAAACUCAAAGGAAUUGACGGGGGCCCGCACAAGCGGUGGAGCGUGUGGUUUAAUUCGAUGCAACGCG